Long non-coding RNA from Daphnia pulicaria, 675 nucleotides. RefSeq lists it as uncharacterized. The record is from RefSeq and is a predicted model, not a curated record. The transcript has 2 exons. Lineage: Eukaryota; Metazoa; Arthropoda; Branchiopoda; Diplostraca; Daphniidae.
GUCGAAUCAUUCAAAGAAGACCCGUUUUAUUCAGUUGUGGUUUCUGCUCAUAGAUGGCGCUGGUGGUUGUCCAGAAUUUUUACAAACUGUCCAAGAUUUUUGACGGUUGUCCAACUUUAGGAAGACGUUUGGCCUAUCUCAAGCACGCAAAUAUGACAUAGCCACAAAAGUGUCCAGAAUUAGUGACACUACCCUAGCUAGUUAUUUAUUCAGUUUGAUGGAAUUUCACAAAAUUUUUAUGCUGGCAUCCCCUUGGGUUGCCAGAGAAAGUAAUACUUUAAUAUAUUGUAAUAUAAAAAAUCUGUACAGAAUUCAAACGGGAAAUUGUCAUCGUUUAUUCCACAUGACCUCCAGUCAAACAAAAAAAAAGCACUGAGCUAGAAAGGCGAGAUAGCACAAAAUAAUAACCGAGCUCAACAUGAAACACAUCGCCUAAGGGACCUUAAGGUCCCAUACGAUCCAGACUGAUUUAAGAAUUUGAAUAACGAAGCCUCACAACGUUAAUGCUGUACUUAUUUACAUAGUGAAAAAGAAUAUAUCUACUUUCAUUUGUGACAAUAUUGUUUUAUUUUUCGUGAGUCAUUACAUGUUAGGGAAAAUGCAUUUUUUGUUCUGCUAAUCCAAUAUGAUUCGGAACGGCUUAUAACAUUUAUAUAGCUUGUUAGCAUGCCCUAU